This 293-nucleotide ribosomal RNA is filed under the name uncultured bacterium. RNAcentral's name for it is "partial 16S ribosomal RNA". It matches the Rfam family "Bacterial small subunit ribosomal RNA", at positions 505 to 796 of the family's 1533-position model. The record is from RNAcentral.
GUGUCAGCCGCCGCGGUAAGACGUAGGGGGCAAGCGUUGUCCGGAUUUAUUGGGCGUAAAGAGCUCGUAGGCGGCUCAGAAAGUCGGGUGUGAAACCUCCAGGCUCAACCUGGAGACGCCACCUGAUACUGCUGUGGCUAGAGUCCGGUAGGGGAGCACGGAAUUCCCGGUGUAGCGGUGAAAUGCUUAGAUAUCGGGAGGAACACCAGUGGCGAAGGCGGUGCUCUGGGCCGGAACUGACGCUGAGGAGCGAAAGCGUGGGUAGCAAACAGGAUUAGAUACCCCCGUAGUCC